Small nucleolar RNA from Echinops telfairi (small Madagascar hedgehog), 127 nucleotides. RefSeq annotates it as small nucleolar RNA SNORA31. The record is from RefSeq and is a predicted model, not a curated record. The transcript has a single exon. Lineage: Eukaryota; Metazoa; Chordata; Mammalia; Afrosoricida; Tenrecidae.
UCAUCCUCUGAUAGACCUGGGACAAUUGACCGUUGUUCUGGUUUGCACUAGGAUGCGAGAGAAUACAAAUCCCUGCCUUUUCUGUCUGUCUUCGUGGCGAGUCCAGAUUCAGUGAGGGAUUACAUAG